GCCAGCAGCCAUAUCACCCUGAAACUCACAACUGGCAAUCCAUUGAAGUUAAGCAGGUGUGAGCCUAGUCAGCAUCUGGAUGGGAGACCUCCUGGGAAAAACUAAGGUUGUUGCUGGGA
Lepisosteus oculatus (spotted gar) is the source of this 119-nucleotide ribosomal RNA. Lineage: Eukaryota; Metazoa; Chordata; Actinopteri; Semionotiformes; Lepisosteidae. The record is from Rfam.